UACAGAGGGUGCGAGCGUUAAUCGGAAUUACUGGGCGUAAAGCGCGCGUAGGCGGCUUUGCAAGUCGGGUGUGAAAUCCCCAGGCUUAACCUGGGAACUGCACUCGAGACUGCAUUGCUAGAGUAUGGGAGAGGGAAGUGGAAUUUCCGGUGUAGCGGUGAAAUGCGUAGAUAUCGUAAGGAAGACCAGUGGCGAAGGCGAGUCUCUGGACAGUUACUGACACUGAGGCACGAAGGCCAGGGGAGCGAACGGG
This 253-nucleotide ribosomal RNA is filed under the name uncultured bacterium. Its description in RNAcentral is "partial 16S ribosomal RNA". It matches the Rfam family "Bacterial small subunit ribosomal RNA", at positions 524 to 776 of the family's 1533-position model. The record is from RNAcentral.